CUUUCUCUGCCCUUAGCACCAAGGGGUUCCAACUGAGGUCCAGACCACAUGGCUCUGAUUGCUUUACAAACAUAUAGUGUGGAAUUGAGACCCACCCCAAGAGAUGAAAGCCCAGAGCCUCCAGGAUAUUUAGCCUCCUAACCCCCAUCAGGGGGAGGUAGGAGAUGAAAUACAUUUGAGGAUCUGGGCGAAAGUGACUUGCCCAAGGUCCCAGAGGUGGCUUGUCGCGACGACAGGAACUGAACCCAGUUCUCCCGAGUCCCCUCCCAGCGUCUUAACCACAAAAUAGCUGAAUAGCUGGCUUCCAAAGAUGCUAACCCCCCCUCUCCCCGCAGUUCUCAUUGUCUUUUGAGCUGGGGGUGGUGUGGCGCUCCUCUGAAAAUCCAGCCUUGGAAGUAAAAAAACUUGAUGGGGGGAAGGUGAGUGUCGGGAUCUGUUUGUGCAACUAACAGUUCUGCUUGGCCCAAAAGCCCCUCUUGGAGGAGGUGGAAGCUCUAGGGAAGCUACAGCAAAGUAUCAAGCGUUUUGAAAUAUUUUACAUCACAGCCAGGAACUUCCUUUCUGCUGAGUAUUUCCCCUAAAUACUGAAUGUUUCUCUGGCUGUGACUCAGCCCGGCAGCUCUUCCUGGGAGAAGCUAAUGGAGCUGAGUGGCCCCCACUGAGGCUCUGCCACAGCUACUUCUCAUUUUGCUCUCCUGCUUGCAUCCAGAGAUGUGACAUGGUGAACACUGGGCACGUCGGCUCCUUGGACAGCUCUUGCUAUUUCACACCCGGAAAAAGGCUUGAUGACUGUGCACAUAAUUCACAUGAUGCAGCAGCUCUGGUAAUGAUGGGAGACAAGAGAGCCAUAGAAACUCCACCCAGGCACCAAUCCUGGCGCUGUUUUUUUUAUGAACCUUGCUUGUGAUUGUGGCCCAGUGAGUCCACCAGCCUGGCCCAGGCAGCAAUUAGAUCUUACAGUGUCAGACCUUGAUAAAUCCAUUCUGGUUGUUCCCAAAAGGCCUCACGCAGUACUGGCACUAUUUUCUCAAUAGCCAGCAGGUAGCUUUGAAAGCAUGGACGGUGGGCAAAGCAGGGUUUUCCGACUGAGAGAAUGUUACUCGGCAGAACUGUGCACAGGGAGAACCAGAGCUGCUGGCUUCAGACACUGCUUACUGCUCUCCACCCUGAGGCUCUGGUGGAAUGAGCUGGAGUCUCUUCAGACUCGUGCAUCAUCUGCAGAAUUGUUGGCCAAGUUCUAGUGGUAAGGCCACCUGUUCAACCCCACUCUAUUCAAAUGACACACACACAACUUCAUGGCAUAGCAGACCUCGGCCAGCAGAAGCCAGUCAUGGUGAUAAGACAUGAGCCAGACAGAAACCAGCUCAACUCUGCUGCAUGACAGCUGUAGUAUGGAAGAUGCAAAUCCCAGACAUGCAAAGUUAGUGAAAGAAAUCAGGAACCUGCUGUACAUUUCAGAAGUCGGGGGACUUUGAUUUGGAGCAGCAGUAAAAAAAAAAUUGAAUUUUGAAAGUC
This is a long non-coding RNA of Dermochelys coriacea (leatherback sea turtle), 1515 nucleotides long. RefSeq lists it as uncharacterized. The record is from RefSeq and is a predicted model, not a curated record. NCBI's taxonomy places the organism in Eukaryota, Metazoa, Chordata, Testudines, Dermochelyidae. The transcript is spliced from 3 exons.